GAUGAACGCUGGCGGCGCGCCCAACACAUGCAAGUCGAACGGUUAAAGCACCUUUUAGGUGUGUAUAAAGUGGCGAACGGCUGAGUAACACGUGGGCAACCUGCCCUCCUCUUGGGGAUAGCCUCGGGAAACCGAGGAUAAUACCCGAUACUUCAAUGUGGCCGCAUGACGACAUUGAGAAAGCUUUUGCGGAGAAGGAUGGGCCCGCGGCCUGUUAGCUUGUUGGUGGGGUAGAGGCCUAUCAAGGCAAUGAUGGGUAGCUGGGUUGAGAGACCGACCAGCCAGAUUGGGACUGAGACACGGCCCAGACUCCUACGGGAGGCAGCAGUGGGGAAUCUUGCACAAUGGGCGAAAGCCUGAUGCAGCGACGCCGCGUGCGGGAAGAAGGCCUUCGGGUUGUAAACCGCUUUCAGCAGGGACGAGGCGAAAGUGACGGUACCUGCAGAAGAAGCCCCGGCUAACUACGUGCCAGCAGCCGCGGUAAUACGUAGGGGGCAAGCGUUAUCCGGAUUCAUUGGGCGUAAAGCGCUCGUAGGCGGUCUGUUAGGUCGGGAGUUAAAUCCGGAGGCUCAACCUCCGUCCGCUCCCGAUACCGGCAGACUUGAGUUUGGUAGGGGAAGGUGGAAUUCCUAGUGUAGCGGCGGAAUGCGCAGAUAUUAGGAAGAACACCAGUGGCGAAGGCGGCCUUCUGGGCCAUAACUGACGCUGAGGAGCGAAAGCUAGGGGAGCAAACAGGAUUAGAUACCCUGGUAGUCCUAGCUGUAAACGAUGGACACUAGGUGUGGGAGAAUACGACUUCCGUGCCGCAGCUAACGCAUUAAGUGUCCCGCCUGGGGAGUACGGCCGCUAAGGCCUAAUACUCAAAGGAAUUGACGGGGACCCGC
RNAcentral lists this ribosomal RNA (884 nucleotides) under Lancefieldella rimae. Its description in RNAcentral is "bacterial SSU rRNA". It matches the Rfam family "Bacterial small subunit ribosomal RNA", at positions 28 to 924 of the family's 1533-position model. Lineage: Bacteria; Bacillati; Actinomycetota; Coriobacteriia; Coriobacteriales; Atopobiaceae. The record is from RNAcentral.